AAGGGUGUAUAUGGAAUUCCCAAGGAUUCACAUGAUUGAAGGUAGGUCAUGGAUCAUGGAAGAUAUGAAUGGUGCCCUAAAGUGGAAGAAGGAAUAAUUAAGAGUAUGCUCGCCAAGGUUUCGCAUCCUUGUGCCUACGUAUUCUCAUUGUGCAAUGAGAAAAUAAGAGCAUUUGUAGUUCAUGGAGCCACGGAAAUAAAGGAGAGAUAAGGAAG
Molecule: long non-coding RNA, 215 nt
Filed under: Lathyrus oleraceus (garden pea)
Lineage: Eukaryota; Viridiplantae; Streptophyta; Magnoliopsida; Fabales; Fabaceae
Description: Pisum sativum (pea) long non-coding RNA (PSAT_LNC018550)
Source: RNAcentral